GAAAGCACCAUUUCAUUGUGUGGAUAGCUUUAGUCCAAUUUUGUGGAAAUGGCUAGUGGGCAUUAGCGUAGGGACAUCAUGAGAUGAUCGUGAAUACCCUUUUCAAGACAAAAAGAGAAUCGUAGUGAGGCAUUUGGUUGUGUCAUGAUGAGGGGAAGGGUUAUAGUUCUGGCCAAUAAAAUCUCUCUAGCCCUCUAUAUUUGGCCUUAGGCUGCUAAAAAGAGGGAAAUAUGGCAUUAUGACAUCUUCGCGGGAAUUCAGAGUCGGUUCACUCGAGCGAAAACGGACGUCUUACAGGCAUGGUAUAACCUCCCCCUGUCGUAAGGGACGGACAUUCCUCAAACAACUUCAAGACCCACAAGUAUAAAAUUAUAGCAAGGCCUGCUUCGGACAAGGGGGAGACCGCUCUUUGUAGGAGAUUAUUUCUAGGAUAGGAAAUUGCCCUUUUCAGGAGUUGAAAACCGAUAACAUGCUUCCAUGAGCUGAUGGGUUCAUUACUGAAAAUACAUGUUGGUUAACCAUCUUUGUGUAUGUUGUUGGAUAUCUGGAAGUUGGUUGCAUUUUUCUUUUUCUCUAACCUCUUUUAUACUGGACAUUGUUGUCGUUUACUGUCAAAUGUCUAAGUGUCUGAUUCCAAGGGGACAACAUUUAUGAGUGAACAUGAACUCAUGCGGAUGCGGGUACACUCCGAACUAGAAAUUGAGAC
This 706-nucleotide unclassified non-coding RNA is filed under the name Hevea brasiliensis (rubber tree). Lineage: Eukaryota; Viridiplantae; Streptophyta; Magnoliopsida; Malpighiales; Euphorbiaceae. The record is from RNAcentral.